Long non-coding RNA from Sitophilus oryzae (rice weevil), 2314 nucleotides. RefSeq lists it as uncharacterized. The record is from RefSeq and is a predicted model, not a curated record. Lineage: Eukaryota; Metazoa; Arthropoda; Insecta; Coleoptera; Curculionidae. The transcript has 5 exons.
AAACACGAACUAUCGGUAAAUAAUCGGCCAAUUGCCGUAAACGAUGGCUGAGUAACGGCAUCGGCAAAAUAUAAUUGGUCCUAUGUGUUACCGAUGAUUGAAUUUUGGCCUUUGGCAUUUGAACGCUGGCAUAACGUUGGCAUUUAUUUAAGUAAUCAUUUUAAAGUAUACAACCGGUAGUGCAUCAACGGAACGGCAACGUGCCAACGUGCGUUUCCCAUUCUUCUUAAAAAUUUGCGUUUGACGUAUCUCUUGUCAAUGAUGUCAAUUAUCUAAUUUGUCCCGCCAACGCCGACUGACGCCGACCGAAAUGGAAAAAUGAGAAAAAACGCCGCUUAUUGUGUCUUGAAUUUGGAAUAUUGGAAUGUGUUUUAAAUCAUUCGUGAUCUUAGUAAUUUUUUAAGUGUUUAAUUAUUGUGAAGUUUUAUUGUAUUGUUCGAUUGUUGCUACUUUGAGGAAAAAUGAAUAAUCAAUUGCUAGACAUUAGUAAAAACUACCCGACAACGGUGACAACUUGAUCAGCAUUUAGAAUGUCUACUUUUAAAUCCAAAAGUAAGCGUCAGCAAAGACGUUUAAUUAACGCAAAGGUAGAGAAAGUAAUUGGUGAAUUGCGAGCUGAAAAUUUUACCUCCGAGGCUGGCUCUGAAGAUUCUCAUUGUCCUCAGCCCAUAGUACAAAUCUGUACAAAUAACCAUACUUAUUCUACGCCAUCAACUUCUUCAGGUUCUAUUUUUAAUGAAAACUUAUUCAGUUUACAUAAAAAAAAAUCACAUACUGAUGAUGCCUUUGAUGAUUUGAAAGAACUAAAUGUAUUAUUAGAAAAUGAAGAACAAUUUAAAACUCUUUGCAUGAAACUUAGUUUAGUUGGCGGAAAAGAUGUUGCCACAUGCACAAGAAAAAUUCUUUCUCGCUUAAUUUCACAUCAAUUAACUCUUAAUUUAAAUUGGACGGGAAGAAAUGAAAAAAGUGGUCUUAAAGAGCUUGGAAAUGUAGUUAAGGUCAUUGUAGCUUCUGUUAGGAGAAAUCCGAAUUUCAAAAACGGAACUGCGGACGAAAUCGAACACAUGAUAAAAACUUGGCUUCGCAAUGCUGCUGAUAGAGAUGGGGGGAGAGUAAGAAGAAAUAAGAAUACUAAUUGAUUUGAUGAUGGAACGUUUUAUUUUAUUUUUUAAGUUUGUUUGAAAGAAUGUUUUUUUUUCUCUUUAUUUGUGUUCAGCCCUGGGUAAAUAUGUAUAUUGAAUAUUAAUGAAUUAUUUAUAUUAUAUCUUCCUUCAUAAGCCUAAUGUAUUUUUAUUUAUUCCUAUAGCCAUUUUUAAACAAAUAAAUAAUACAGAAUAUUACAGUUCGGUUUUUGCAACUUUUCUGAAAAGAAGUUUCACGCGUACAAGGAAGUACAUGCAGUGACCGGCUAAAAUAUGGAACAAAUUUAUUUAAAAAUUACAUAAUUGAUUUUUUAAAAGGGUGCUCGAACACGUCUUAUCAUAUUUUUCUUGCGCAUUUUUUGCACCAAAUAAAAUAUACAGGAUAUAUAAUUUUUAAAUGAAUUUGUUCCAUAUUUUAGCUGGUCACAGUGUAUACAGGGUUAUUCAUAAGUCCUAUUUGACGUUUACGGAGAACCAAAAAUCCAAUCCUCUUAAAAACUGGGGUCUUAAAACAGUGAUGCAGUUUCUUGCUAAACUUGGCGACAACUUCGUUUUUUUUUAUAUAGAACACCUUUAUAUUAGUUUGUUUUUGAAUUAACCUUGAGAUUUUAUGUAACUUCUAAUAAUGCCCUAUGCCUUUCUUCAACAGUUUUCGAAAAAAAAAAUUACUUUCCAAAAUUUUCGCUAAAAUAAGAAUCAAAAGAAGUCGCGAAUUCUCGGUUAUGCAAAAUAGUAAAAAGUUGAAAUUAUUUUUUUUCCUAAAACAGUUGAAGAUAUAGGUAUAGAAGGCAUUAUAGUAGUUAUUUAAAAUUUCAAGGACAAAUCAACAAACUAAUAUACGGGUGUUCUAUUUAAAAUAACGAUGCUGGUUGCCAAGUUUAGCAAGAAACGGAAACCUUGCGUUUGGCCAGCAUUCUGCCGAUGUUUAUUUUAAAUUAAAUAUAAUCCAUAGGGCCAUAAGAUUUAAGCACGUAUAGCCAGCGUUGGCCCAACGAUACAAUUUAGACGUUGCAUCGGCCCAACGCCGAUUUAUACGGUCGGCCGACAUACGGUUCGACUGUCGGCCGGGCGGUCAUAUACGGUCCGGGCCAGUACUUUUUUUUGGGGUCGGUCCAGUGCCUGUUCUCCGGCAAUGCGGCAUUUGUUUGAUGCUGGCCCGUAAGAAAUGUGUU